RNAcentral lists this transfer RNA (74 nucleotides) under Danionella translucida. It matches the Rfam family "tRNA". From Rfam's summary of the family: Transfer RNA (tRNA) molecules are approximately 80 nucleotides in length. The record is from Rfam by way of RNAcentral. RNAcentral also lists the same sequence under 1 other name. Lineage: Eukaryota; Metazoa; Chordata; Actinopteri; Cypriniformes; Danionidae.
GGCCUGUUAGCUCAGCUGGUUAGAGCGUGGUGCUAAUAACACCAAGGUUGUGGGUUCAAUCCCCACAUGGGCCA